RNAcentral lists this ribosomal RNA (468 nucleotides) under uncultured bacterium. Its description in RNAcentral is "partial 16S ribosomal RNA". It matches the Rfam family "Bacterial small subunit ribosomal RNA", at positions 28 to 507 of the family's 1533-position model. The record is from RNAcentral.
GACGAACGCUGGCGGCGUGCUUAACACAUGCAAGUCGAACGGCAAGGCCCUGCUUUCGUGGGCUGCUCGAGUGGCGAACGGGUGAGUAACACGAGAGUAACCUGCUCUUGACUUUGGGAUAACUUCAGGAAACUGGGGUUAAUACCGGAUAGGAGCUCCUGUUGCAUGGUGGGGGUUGGAUAGUCUCGGCGGUUGGGGAUGGACUCGCGGCUUAUCAGCUAGUUGGUGGGGUAGUGGCUUACCAAGGCUUUGACGGGUAGCCGGCCUGAGAGGGUGACCGGCCACAUUGGGACUGAGAUACGGCCCAGACUCCUACGGGAGGCAGAAGUGGGGAAUAUUGCACAAUGGGCGGAAGCCUGAUGCAGCAACGCCGCGUGCGGGAUGACGGCCUUCGGGUUGUAAACCGCUUUCGCCUGUGACGAAGCGUGAGUGACGGUAAUGGGUAAAGAAGCACCGGCUAACUACGUG